Molecule: ribosomal RNA, 370 nt
Filed under: uncultured organism
Description: bacterial SSU rRNA
Rfam family: Bacterial small subunit ribosomal RNA
Source: RNAcentral
CGUAGGUGGCAAGCGUUGUCCGGAAUUAUUGGGCGUAAAGCGCGCGCAGGCGGGAAUCUAAGUCUGUCUUAAAAGUGCGGGGCUCAACCCCGUGAUGGGAUAGAAACUGGGUUUCUUGAGUGCAGGAGAGGACAGUGGAAUUCCCAGUGUAGCGGUGAAAUGCGUAGAUAUUGGGAGGAACACCAGUGGCGAAGGCGACUGUCUGGACUGUGUCUGACGCUGAGGCGCGAAAGCCAGGGUAGUGAACGGGAUUAGAUACCCCGGUAAUCCUGGCCGUAAACGAUGGGUACUAGGUGUUGGGGGUAUCGACCCCUCCAGUGCCGGAGUUAACGCAAUAAGUACCCGCCUGGGGAGUACGGCCGCAAGGUUG